UGGUGGAGCGAUUUGUCUGGUCAACUCCGAUAACGAACGAGACUCUAGCCUACUAAAUAGUUCGGGGACCCCACAAAGGGGCCCCGCUUCAACUUCUUAGAGGGACAGGUAGCGUUUAGCCACACGAGAUUGAGCAAUAAUA
RNAcentral lists this ribosomal RNA (142 nucleotides) under uncultured eukaryote. Its description in RNAcentral is "partial 18S ribosomal RNA". It matches the Rfam family "Eukaryotic small subunit ribosomal RNA", at positions 1299 to 1458 of the family's 1831-position model. The record is from RNAcentral.